UACGGAGGGUGCAAGCAUUAAUCGGAAUUAUUGGGCGUAAAGGGCGCGUAGGCGGAUUUGUAAGUCAGAUGUGAAAUUCCGAAGCUCAACUUCGGAGCUGCAUUUGAAACUGUGAGUCUAGAGGGAUGGCGGAGAAAAUGGAAUUCCACGUGUAGCGGUGAAAUGCGUAGAUAUGUGGAAGAACACCCGUGGCGAAGGCGGUUUUCUAUCUUAUACCUGACGCUGAGGCGCGAAAGCAAGGGGAGCAAACAGG
RNAcentral lists this ribosomal RNA (253 nucleotides) under uncultured bacterium. RNAcentral describes it as "partial 16S ribosomal RNA". It matches the Rfam family "Bacterial small subunit ribosomal RNA", at positions 524 to 776 of the family's 1533-position model. The record is from RNAcentral.